This 136-nucleotide microRNA precursor is filed under the name Hordeum vulgare. RNAcentral's name for it is "microRNA MIR1122". It matches the Rfam family "MIR1120/MIR1122 microRNA precursor family". The record is from RNAcentral. Lineage: Eukaryota; Viridiplantae; Streptophyta; Magnoliopsida; Poales; Poaceae.
UUAGUAUUCUCUUGGUCUUAAAAAAUUUGUUUUAAAUUUGUCUAGAUAUAAAUGUAUCUAGUCAUAUUUGAAUAUUUAGAUAUAUUCAUUUUUAGACAAACCUAAGACAAGAAUUUUGGGACAAAGGGAGUACUAA